Molecule: ribosomal RNA, 769 nt
Filed under: Absidia glauca
Lineage: Eukaryota; Fungi; Mucoromycota; Mucoromycetes; Mucorales; Cunninghamellaceae
Description: SSU rRNA
Rfam family: Eukaryotic small subunit ribosomal RNA
Source: RNAcentral
UUUUAUUUUAAGGCAUUGGAUAAUGAAAUAGGACUCGAGUCUUGUUUUGUUGGUUUACUUGACAUUGAGAAAUGAUGAAUAGGAACGGUUGGGGGCAUUUGUAUUUGGCCGCUAGAGGUGAAAUUCUUGGAUUGGCCGAAGACAAACUACUGCGAAAGCAUUUGACCCAGGACGUUUUCAUUGAUCAGGGACUAAAGUUGAGGGAUCGAAGACGAUUAGAUACCGUCGUAGUCUUAACCACAAACUAUGCCGACUAGCGAUUGGGCCUUGACCUUUGGUCAGGUUCAGCAGCUUAGCGAAAGUAAAGUCUUUGGGUUCUGGGGGGAGUAUGGGACGCAAGGCUGAAACUUAAAGGAAUUGACGGAAGGGCACCACCAGGAGUGGAGCCUGCGGCUUAAUUUGACUCAACACGGGGAAACUCACCAGGUCCAGACAUAAGAAGGAUUGACAGAUUGAAAGCUCUUUCUAGAUUUUAUGGGUGGUGGUGCAUGGCCGUUCUUAGUUCGUGGAGUGAUUUGUCUGGUUAAUUCCGAUAACGAACGAGACCUUAAUCUGCUAAAUAGCUGGGCCAACUUUUUAGUUGGUAGCAUGAUUCCUUCGGGGAUCCCAGCUUCUUAGAGAGACUACUGAAUUCAAUUCAGUGGAAGUUUUAGGCAAUAACAGGUCUGUGAUGCCCUUAGAUGUUCUGGGCCGCACGCGCGCUACCCUGACAAAAGCAACGAGUUUCAUCCUUGGCCGGAAGUACUCCUUCAAGUACCAUGACCCCUCC